GGUUUUGGAGGGUUUUGAGGAAUUUUUUGGGGGUUUUGGGGUGGUUCCGAUGGGGAUUUGGGGGGAUUUUGGGGAGGUUUUACGGGAUUUUGGGAUUCCGGAGGAUUUUGGGAAUUUUUUGGGAAUAUUUUGGGGAUGUCUGGGAGGGAUUUUGGGGGAGAUUUGAGAUUCCACGACCCCCCCAGGGAAGCUCCUGUUCUCCAUCAGCUUCCUCAUCUUCCUCCUGAUGCUGAUCCUGCUGGGCAAGGGCUUCUCGGUCACCAGGGGCCGCAUCAGCCCGGGGGGCUCGGUCCGUCUGUCCGUCUACAUGACGCUCUACAGCAUCGCCCACAUCGCCCUGCUCACCUACGAGGCUCAGUUUUUCGACCCCGGGCAGGUGCUGUACACCUACGAGUCCCCGGCGGGGUACGGGCUGAUCGCGCUGCAGUUCGGAGCCUUCGUUUGGUUCUGCGCCGCCGUGGGCGCCACCCUGAGCGCGGUGCCGGAGAGACGCCAGUUCUACCUGCCCUUCCUGGGGGCUUAUGCGUUCUGGUGAGUGCCAAAAUCACACCUGGACACACCUGGGGACACCUGGGGACACCUGGGGGGGUCACAGCCACACCUGGGGCGCCACCCUGAGCGCGGUGCCGGAGCGACGCCAGUUCUACCUGCCCUUCCUGGGGGCUUAUGCGUUCUGGUGAGUGCCAAAAUCACACCUGAGCACACCUGGGACACACCUGGGGACACCUGGGGACACCUGGGGACACUUGGGGACACCUGGACACACCUGGGGACACCUGGGGACACCUGGGAUACACCUGGGGACACCUGGGGGGGAUAAAAACACACCUGGGCACACCUGAGAUACACCUGGGCACACCUGGGGACACCUGGACACACCUGGGGACACCUGGGGGGGUCACAGCCACACCUGGGCACACCUGAGAUACACCUGGGGGGAUAAAAACACACCUGGGGACACCUGAGACACACCUGGACACACCUGGGGACACCUGGGGGUUACCUGAGGACACCUGGAGGGGUUUGGGGACACACCUG
RNAcentral lists this long non-coding RNA (1038 nucleotides) under Cyanistes caeruleus (blue tit). RNAcentral describes it as "lncRNA (ENSCCEG00000003916.1)". Lineage: Eukaryota; Metazoa; Chordata; Aves; Passeriformes; Paridae. The record is from RNAcentral.